Molecule: long non-coding RNA, 888 nt
Organism: Chenopodium quinoa (quinoa)
Lineage: Eukaryota; Viridiplantae; Streptophyta; Magnoliopsida; Caryophyllales; Amaranthaceae
Exons: 3
Source: RefSeq, a predicted model, not a curated record
AACACAUCAAGUUUUCUGAAAUAUAUUCUCUCUCCUCCCUUAUUUCCUCUUUCCUCCAUAAUUUCAUGGUUUCCUUUCUCACUCCUCUCUCUUUUUCUCUCCUAUCUCUGGUCAUCAAUUCUUAAAGAAAUUGUUAUAAUUAUCAAAUUAAAGUUGAAUUAGCUUCAAUCUUCAUUAAUAACGCCAUCGAUUUUAUGUUGGAGCUAACAAAUCAGCUUUUCUCUUACGAUUUUUAUUUGAUUUCAUAUACACAAUGUUUUAUUUGAGUUUUGAAUUAGUUAUUUGUUUAUUUUUAUCAUCAUCAAAUUGAUUCUUCAAUUGAAUAAUUAGAAGAUUUUCAAUGGAAUUAAGAUUUACUUUCAAAUAUAUGAUUCUUCAUAUUUUGUAGGUCAAGCAAACUAAAUUUAAGCAAAAUUUUGUGGGUGGUUUCGCUGGGUUUGUGGGUGGAUUCGGUAUUUUUGGUGGGUGUCGGUGGUGGUGGUGGUCUGGGUUUGGGGGUUUUGGUGGUGUCGGUGGUGGUGGUGGUCUGGCUUUGGGGUUUCGAUGGUGUCGAUGGUCUGGGUUUGGGGGUUUCGAUGGUGGUGGUGGUCUAGGUUUGGGGGUUAUGGUGGUGUUGGUGGUUGUGGUGGUCUGGGUUUGGUUUAGUAUGACUGUAUGAGUACUCUCUUAAGGAUAUGGUAGUAUAAGCUUAGCUGAUGCAUUAAAGCUGUUUGGCAUGUGUAGACUGCCUCAAUCUCUCCUUAUGCAGAUAUGGCGAUGAACAUAAGCUUGUUGGAUUUUCAGCAACAUUGCAAGCUAUAAUUAAUAUAGUUAUCUUAUCUUUGUAUAUAGCGAUCUUUACGUAAAUGUGGUCAAAUACCCUACUUUUGUAUAUAGUGACGUCUAUGA